RNAcentral lists this ribosomal RNA (329 nucleotides) under uncultured Bacteroides sp. RNAcentral's name for it is "bacterial SSU rRNA". It matches the Rfam family "Bacterial small subunit ribosomal RNA", at positions 355 to 682 of the family's 1533-position model. Lineage: Bacteria; Pseudomonadati; Bacteroidota; Bacteroidia; Bacteroidales; Bacteroidaceae. The record is from RNAcentral.
UGAGGAAUAUUGGUCAAUGGGCGCGAGCCUGAACCAGCCAAGUAGCGUGAAGGAAGGCUGCCCUAUGGGUUGUAAACUUCUUUUAUACGGGAAUAAAGUCAGCCACGUGUGGUUGUUUGCAUGUACCGUAAGAAAAAGCAUCGGCUAAUUCCGUGCCAGCAGCCGCGGUAAUACGGAAGAUGCGAGCGUUAUCCGGAUUUAUUGGGUUUAAAGGGAGCGUAGGCGGAGAGACAAGUCAGUUGUGAAAGUUUGCGGCUCAACCGUAAAAUUGCAGUUGAAACUGUUUUUCUUGAGUGCACAUGAGGGUGUGGAAUUCGUAGUGUAGCGGU